GAUGAACGCUGGCGGCGUGCCUAAUACAUGCAAGUCGAGCGAACGGACGAGAAGCUUGCUUUUCUGAUGUUAGCGGCGGACGGGUGAGUAACACGUGGAUAACCUACCUAUAAGACUGGGAUAACUUCGGGAAACCGGAGCUAAUACCGGAUAAUAUUUUGAACCGCAUGGUUCAAAAGUGAAAGACGGUCUUGCUGUCACUUAUAGAUGGAUCCGCGCUGCAUUAGCUACUUGGUAAGGUAACGGCUUACCAAGGCAACGAUGCAUAGCCGACCUGAGAGGGUGAUCGGCCACACUGGAACUGAGACACGGUCCAGACUCCUACGGGAGGCAGCAGUAGGGAAUCUUCCGCAAUGGGCGAAAGCCUGACGGAGCAACGCCGCGUGAGUGAUGAAGGUCUUCGGAUCGUAAAACUCUGUUAUUAGGGAAGAACAUAUGUGUAAGUAACUGUGCACAUCUUGACGGUACCUAAUCAGAAAGCCACGGCUAACUACGUG
Molecule: ribosomal RNA, 497 nt
Filed under: uncultured bacterium
Lineage: Bacteria
Description: partial 16S ribosomal RNA
Rfam family: Bacterial small subunit ribosomal RNA
Source: RNAcentral